This 247-nucleotide unclassified non-coding RNA is filed under the name Hevea brasiliensis (rubber tree). The record is from RNAcentral. Lineage: Eukaryota; Viridiplantae; Streptophyta; Magnoliopsida; Malpighiales; Euphorbiaceae.
UCACCGGAUAAUUUGUUGUUUGAGAGAUCCAUACUCCGAACAAAAUUAAGGAUGGUGCUAUAUUCAAUCAUUUGUCCCUUUUUCAUAAUUGAGGAACUCCCAUAGAAUGACCCAUUAUCAUCAAUGAAAAUGGAAAUUAGGCCUCCCAUAUCAUAGGUUUCAUAUACCAUUUCACUGAAGUUAUCGACACAUGUUGGUAUUUUACCACUGAGGUUGUUAUUAGCUAGAUCCAAGAUUCUUAAAGAAG